CACAAAUGAAAGAAAGCUUUUGGUUGCUGGUCUUGAAGCAGUUAUUCAAGAUUUACAAGAUAUGAAGGAUAUUACUAAAGAAACAGUUAAAAAAUCCAAAAAACAGCUUUUGGAAGCACUAUGUGAACAAAAAGGGUUGUUAUUGGAAAAGUUGUCAUCAAAUCUGAAAGAUUUGAAGCAAACACAGGCUCUUGCAGUUGCUCAACCGGGCAGUAUUAAUGAGCAAAAUAUACAAGAACUCAAUGAACAAAGAAGGCUAUUGUCUAUAGGCUUAGAGGGAAUUGUACAAAAUAUUCAACAUAUACAGAAUCUUAAAUCAAGCGAAACCGAACUAUUAACACCCGGUGGUAAGUACAGAAUUAAAAUUGUUAUCAGAUG
This 378-nucleotide long non-coding RNA is filed under the name Notechis scutatus (mainland tiger snake). RNAcentral describes it as "lncRNA (ENSNSUG00000001950.1)". Lineage: Eukaryota; Metazoa; Chordata; Lepidosauria; Squamata; Elapidae. The record is from RNAcentral.